This 485-nucleotide ribosomal RNA is filed under the name uncultured bacterium. RNAcentral describes it as "partial 16S ribosomal RNA". The record is from RNAcentral.
GUAGUUAGCCGGGGCUUUCUUACAGGGUACCGUCACUUCUUCGUCCCCUGCGACAGAGGUUUACAAUCCGAAAACCUUCUUCUCUCACGCGGCGUUGCUGGGUCAGGCUUUCGCCCAUUGCCCAAUAUUCCCCACUGCUGCCUCCCGUAGGAGUCUGGACCGUGUCUCAGUUCCAGUGUGGCCGAUCAGCCUCUCAGCUCGGCUACCCAUCGUCGACUUGGUGAGCCGUUACCUCACCAACUAUCUAAUGGGACGCGAGCCCCUCUUUCUGCGGAUUGCUCCUUUGACCCCUUUGCCAUGCGACAUUGUGGUCUUAUGCGGUAUUAGCAUCUGUUUCCAAAUGUUAUCCCCCUCAGAAAGGCAGGUUGCUCACGCGUUACUCACCCGUUCGCCACUCAGUAAGGAGCCGAAGCUCCUUACUCCGUUCGACUUGCAUGUGUUAAGCACGCCGCCAGCGUUCGUCCUGAACCAAGAUCAAAUUCUGA